Molecule: long non-coding RNA, 1283 nt
Organism: Lotus japonicus
Lineage: Eukaryota; Viridiplantae; Streptophyta; Magnoliopsida; Fabales; Fabaceae
Exons: 4
Source: RefSeq, a predicted model, not a curated record
GCUGGCCAAGGUUGAUGUGUCCAGUGCCCUGCUUCUUACUACUCUGGUGGCUCUGUUUUAUCUUUUUAGUUUUUCUGUUAAUCUGGAAAAACACAGAGCCAAUCUUUCAACUUUGAAUCAUUAGGCGAAGGAUUCGAGUGAGAAUUACGGAGAUCAAAGUGGGGAAAAAACAAAGAGUAGAGAGCAACACACAUCAGAGUACAUUAACCAAGCACUUUGGAGUGACCAAGUUCAAAGAAUAUAUAUUUUGGAGUGACCAAGUUAGCCAAACACCAGGAAAGAAAGAGCAUAUUGCUAUCAAGUACAUUGACAGAGGAGAAAAGUUAUCAUGUAAAGGGGUUAAGGAGGGCAUCACAAAAAUUUAAUCACAUGUGUGGAUGUUGAAGAGGGCGAGAAAGAUAAAGCAACAUUCGUGGCAUCCGAUGUGGUGGAGAGUUUGUAUUCAGAUAAUGAAAUUUUGGCUAGAAUAAAACAACGAAGAGGGCGAAAAAGGGUAGGAGGGCCCGGUGCUGCUGGGGGAGGUCGAAAAGUGGUCAAGCCUAAAGCAAAGAGAGGAAGACCAAGGGGAAGCAAGAACAAGUCAAAACAACAGGCGGAAGUGGAUUUAAUGUGUUCUGACGAUGAGUUUGAUUUUAUGGACCUGGAUUCAAGGGCUCGACAGACAUGGAAGGUUGGGAAACAGGUGGGGGUGGUUUACAAUGGUGAUGAAGAGAUGAUGAUUCAAAGACUUAAGAAUCAAAUCCAAUUAAAUCAUCAUGAGUUGCAAUGAUGUUUAUGGGGAAGGUUGUGUUUUUGUGACUGAUUGAAGGUCACUUGGUUUGUUUCCUCGAGAUUUAUUUGUGGUGGAUGGGGGUUGCGGGCAUGUGAUUUUGUUUUCUGUGGGUUUUUACCUAUGAACUUGUUAUAUGCUUGGUUGGUGUGGUUUGAUAUCGAGGUUUCGAUGGAACUUAUUGAAUUGGUGACUAAUGGGGAGCUGGUUUGCUGCUACUGUAUGUUUGGAGGAUUGUCUUAAGCUUUAUAACAGAUUGGGCCACGUAAUUGUUAUUUUUGGUAGAUAAGGGUUUGUCUUGGUGUUAGUUCAAUGGUGGGUGUAAUGGGUUUUUUUAGGGGGUUUUAUUCUCUUGGUGAUUUGAGUACUCUUUUUCCUUUACUAGGUUUUUCCCACUGGGUUUUCCUAAUAAAGGUUUUAAUGAGGCUCUGUCCCAAGUGUGCUUCCCCAAAAGGAGUUUUUUAUGUGGUUUGGUUUUUUGCUCUUAUGAGAGGCUUGUUCUCAUGGUGCUUUU